CGGAGUGGCGGCAUGCCUAUACAUGCAGUCGAACGAACCAUCCUGAUGAUUGAAGCUUGCUUCAUGAUUCAGAUUUUGGUGAGUGGCGGACGGGUGAGUAACACGUGGGUAACCUGCCCAGAAGUGGGGGAUAACAUUUGGAAACAAGUGCUAAUACCGCAUAACAACUUAGAUCACAUGAUCUUUGUUUAAAAGAUGGUUUUGCUAUCUCUUCUGGAUGGACCCGCGGCGUAUUAGCUAGUUGGUGAGGUAAUAGCUCACCAAGGCGAUGAUACGUAGCCGACCUGAGAGGGUAAUCGGCCACAUUGGGACUGAGACACGGCCCAAACUCCUACGGGAGGCAGCAGUAGGGAAUCUUCCACAAUGGACGAAAGUCUGAUGGAGCAAUGCCGCGUGAGUGAAGAAGGUUUUCGGAUCGUAAAACUCUGUUGUUGAAGAAGAACAUACGUGAGAGUAACUGUUCACGUACUGACGGUAUUCAACCAGAAAGCCACGGCUAACUACGUGCCAGCAGCCGCGGUAAUACGUAGGUGGCAAGCGUUGUCCGGAUUUAUUGGGCGUAAAGAGAAUGUAGGCGGUUUAUUAAGUUUGAAGUGAAAGCCCUCGGCUCAACCGAGGAAGUGCUUCGAAAACUGGUAAACUUGAGUGCAGAAGAGGAAAGUGGAACUCCAUGUGUAGCGGUGGAAUGCGUAGAUAUAUGGAAGAACACCAGUGGCGAAGGCGGCUUUCUGGUCUGUAACUGACGCUGAGAUUCGAAAGCAUGGGUAGCAAACAGGAUUAGAUACCCUGGUAGUCCAUGCCGUAAACGAUGAGUGCUAAGUGUUUGGAGGGUUUCCGCCCUUCAGUGCUGCAGCUAACGCAUUAAGCACUCCGCCUGGGGGAGUACGAUCGCAAGAUUGAAACUCAAAGGAAUUGACGGGGGCCCGCACAAGCGGUGGAGCAUGUGGUUUAAUUCGAAGCAACGCGAAGAACCUUACCAGGUCUUGACAUACCAUGAAAAGCUUAGAGAUAAGUCUUUCCCUUCGGGGACAUGGAUACAGGUGGUGCAUGGUUGUCGUCAGCUCGUGUCGUGAGAUGUUGGGUUAAGUCCCGCAACGAGCGCAACCCUUAUUAUCAGUUGCCAGCAUUCAGUUGGGCACUCUGGUGAAACUGCCGGUGAUAAACCGGAGGAAGGUUGGGGACGACGUCAAAUCUCAUGCCCCUUAUGACUGGGCUACCACGUGCUACAAUGGUCGGUACACGUGCUGCGAACUCCGGAGGGCAAGCAAAUCACUUAAAACCGAUCUCAGUUCGGAUUGUAGGCUGCAACUCGCCUACAUGAAGCUGGAAUCGCUAGUAAUCGCGGAUCAGCAUGCCGCGGUGAAUACGUUCCCGGGCCUUGUACACACCGCCCGUCACACCAUGAGAGUUUGUAACACCCAAAGUCGGUGGGGUAACCCUUCCGGGAAACCCCCCUAAGGGGGGAAAAGUAAUCGGGAAUCUCACAGGUUCCGAACAAACGGGCGGGGUCAGCCUUAGCUUACCUUUACCGAAAUUCUAAGUAAAGGCUAAGUCAAUGUCAAAUGAAAUAUUAACUUAUCAAA
RNAcentral lists this ribosomal RNA (1583 nucleotides) under Companilactobacillus paralimentarius. RNAcentral describes it as "bacterial SSU rRNA". It matches the Rfam family "Bacterial small subunit ribosomal RNA". The record is from RNAcentral. Lineage: Bacteria; Bacillati; Bacillota; Bacilli; Lactobacillales; Lactobacillaceae.